GUCUUGUUCGCCUCUGCUAAAAGUCACAUAUACACAGCACCGGAAGCUGUUGGCAGUGUUUCUGUUGGUGUCUGCUGCGUGUGGGUGUAGAAGGCCAGGGGGUGGCUGGGCUCCUUCUCCCCCCACUCCGAGGGGGAAGGGGAGCUCUGCAGCCCUCCAACUCUGCCUAGGCCAGAGUUAGAGACAGCAUUGGAGUGAGUGAGUGUUUGUGAGGGACGUGACUCACAAACAACUGUGGGAGUGAGGCUCAGCAUUGAAGCAGAUCCAAGUGGACGGGCUGAUAAUGGAGCAGCUCGGCGCUAGGGAAAAGAAUCCCAGGCGAAAUUGGAGACAGGCCAAAGGGCUCGGGAGUUGCCCUACAGAGAUUUGACUGGGGGCAGCCGAAAACUGACUUGGAGGAAUGAAGAUUCCAAACGCCUAUUGUGAUAAGCUACACUACAGCAGCAGUGAACCGAGGUAUGAGACUGAGAGGGAGAGAUCACACAGCAGAAAUGACACAGGACCAAGGAGAAAGGACUCAGAGCUACCUUCUUGGACUUUUGAAAAUUGGGUCACUUAUGAAGAGUCUUAGAGACUCCGUCUCACCUUCCUGUCCUGCUGGAGAUGGUUCAAACAUAAAUCUCUCACCUUUCCUCCAUAUGAGAGGCUCAGCCACUGUGAUGCUGGUACAGGAGCUGGAGUGUGGUGUGAGUGGGCAGAAAGUGUCUGUUGUCUCUCUAACUGAAGCUGUUCCACUGAACAGAAAAACCUUCUCAAAUAAACAGAUCAACAAGACCUUGUAUCCUCUAGCAGUUUUUACAGUCACCUAGCAGAAAUCUGCAUACCAACCCUUCACCAACAUGCAUUUGCAUGCCUUUAUAUUGAAAAAUCAUUGGAAAAUAUAUUAAAAAAUCUGACCCUGUGAUCUUUGUUUCCACUUUUUAUUAAUUGGAUUGUGCAUAAGUGCUCUGUGUAGGAGGAACAUUUAUCAGAACUAUGAAGCUUUUCUUGCUGAAUGGAAAGAAGAAAACAUGUUCAAUAAGCUGGUGUAUGUGUCUCAUAAGCUAAGCUUCAAGUUGAUCUUAAGAUCCCACAAAGU
Lepidothrix coronata (blue-crowned manakin) is the source of this 1078-nucleotide long non-coding RNA. RefSeq lists it as uncharacterized. The record is from RefSeq and is a predicted model, not a curated record. NCBI's taxonomy places the organism in Eukaryota, Metazoa, Chordata, Aves, Passeriformes, Pipridae. The transcript is spliced from 3 exons.